RNAcentral lists this ribosomal RNA (468 nucleotides) under uncultured bacterium. RNAcentral's name for it is "partial 16S ribosomal RNA". It matches the Rfam family "Bacterial small subunit ribosomal RNA", at positions 28 to 507 of the family's 1533-position model. The record is from RNAcentral.
GACGAACGCUGGCGGCGUGCUUAACACAUGCAAGUCGAACGGAAAGGCCCUGCUUUUGUGGGGUGCUCGAGUGGCGAACGGGUGAGUAACACGUGAGUAACCUGCCCUUGACUUUGGGAUAACUUCAGGAAACUGGGGCUAAUACCGGAUAGGAGCUCCUGCUGCAUGGUGUGGGUUGGAAAGUUUCGGCGGUUGGGGAUGGACUCGCGGCUUAUCAGCUUGUUGGUGGGGUAGUGGCUUACCAAGGCUUUGACGGGUAGCCGGCCUGAGAGGGUGACCGGCCCCAUUGGGACUGAGAUACGGCCCAGAAUCCUACGGGAGGCAGCGGUGGGGAAUAUUGCACAAUGGGCGGAAGCCUGAUGCAGCAACGCCGCGUGCGGGAUGACGGCCUUCGGGUUGUAAACCGCUUUCGCCUGUGACGAAGAGUGAGUGACGGUAAUGGGUAAAGAAGCACCGGCUAACUACGUG